GACGAACGCUGGCGGCGUGCUUAACACAUGCAAGUCGAACGGAAAGGCCUGCUUUCCCUUGUGGAUUGCGGGUACUCGAGUGGCGAACGGGUGAGUAACACGUGAGUGAUCUGCCCCCAACUUGGGUAUAAGCCUGGGAAACUGGGUCUAAUUCCCGAUAGGACUGCAGGGUGGUGCCUGUGGUGGAAAACGAUUUUCUAGUGGUUGGGGAUGAGCUCGCGGCCUAUCAGCUUGUUGGUGGGGUAAUGGCCUACCAAGGCGGCGACGGGUAGCCGGCCUGAGAGGGUGGACGGCGACAUUGGGACUGAGAUACGGCCCAGACUCCUACGGGAGGCAGCAGUGGGGAAUAGUGCACAAUGGGCGGAAGCCUGAUGCAGCGACGCCGCGUGGGGGAUGACGGCCUUCGGGUUGUAAACUCCUUUCGACCGCGAGGAAGCCACCUGGUUGGAAGGGUGGUGACGGUAGUGGUAGAAGAAGCACCGGCUAACUACGUG
Molecule: ribosomal RNA, 494 nt
Filed under: uncultured bacterium
Lineage: Bacteria
Description: partial 16S ribosomal RNA
Rfam family: Bacterial small subunit ribosomal RNA
Source: RNAcentral